This 491-nucleotide ribosomal RNA is filed under the name uncultured bacterium. Its description in RNAcentral is "partial 16S ribosomal RNA". It matches the Rfam family "Bacterial small subunit ribosomal RNA", at positions 29 to 506 of the family's 1533-position model. The record is from RNAcentral.
AGUGAACGCUGGCGGUAGGCCUAACACAUGCAAGUCGAACGGCAGCACAGUAAGAGCUUGCUCUUACGGGUGGCGAGUGGCGGACGGGUGAGGAAUACAUCGGAAUCUACUUUUUCGUGGGGGAUAACGUAGGGAAACUUACGCUAAUACCGCAUACGACCUACGGGUGAAAGCAGGGGAUCUUCGGACCUUGCGCGAUUGAAUGAGCCGAUGUCGGAUUAGCUAGUUGGCGGGGUAAAGGCCCACCAAGGCGGCGAUCCGUAGCUGGUCUGAGAGGAUGAUCAGCCACACUGGAACUGAGACACGGUCCAGACUCCUACGGGAGGCAGCAGUGGGGAAUAUUGGACAAUGGGCGCAAGCCUGAUCCAGCCAUACCGCGUGGGUGAAGAAGGCCUUCGGGUUGUAAAGCCCUUUUGUUGGGAAAGAAAAGCAGCAGGUUAAUACCCCGCUGUUCUGACGGUACCCAAAGAAGAAGCACCGGCUAACUUCGU